Molecule: non-coding RNA, 330 nt
Organism: Urocitellus parryii (Arctic ground squirrel)
Lineage: Eukaryota; Metazoa; Chordata; Mammalia; Rodentia; Sciuridae
Source: the annotation of a RefSeq genome assembly
AUGAGGCAGGUGAUAAGAGCGACUGUGUUCCUGAUCCUGGGCACUUUAAGCCUUGCRAAGACCACCCAGCGCAUCUCCAUGGACGCCUACGAAGGACAGGAAGUGAACAUAUCCUGUAACCACACCAACAUUGCCACAAAUGAGUACAUCUUCUGGUACCGACAGGUCCCCCACCAGGGACCACACUUUGUCAUUCAAGGAUAUAAGACGAACGUGGCAAAUGAAGUGGCAUCUCURUUUAUCCCUGUUGACAGAAAGUCCAGCACCCUGAGCCUGCACCGGGUUACCCUGAGAGACAKCGCUGUGUACUACUGCACUGUGGGUGGCACA